AUCCAGCUGACGAGUCCCAAAUAGGACGAAACGUGCGUCAAAUUGGAU
RNAcentral lists this non-coding RNA (48 nucleotides) under Schistosoma bovis. The record is from RNAcentral. Lineage: Eukaryota; Metazoa; Platyhelminthes; Trematoda; Strigeidida; Schistosomatidae. RNAcentral also lists the same sequence under 1 other name.